Molecule: ribosomal RNA, 254 nt
Filed under: uncultured bacterium
Lineage: Bacteria
Description: partial 16S ribosomal RNA
Rfam family: Bacterial small subunit ribosomal RNA
Source: RNAcentral
UACGAAGGGGGGCUAGCGUUGCUCGGAUUGACUGGGCGUAAAGGGCGCGUAGGCGGUUCGUACAGUCAGACGUGAAAUUCCUGGGCUCAACCUGGGGGCUGCGUUUGAUACGUGCGGACUUGAGUGCGGAAGAGGGUCGUGGAAUUCCCAGUGUAGAGGUGAAAUGCGCAGAUAUCAGGAGGAACACCGGUGGCGAAGGCGGGUCUCUGGGCCGAAACUGACGCUGAGGAGCGAAAGCGUGGGGAGCAAACAGG